Molecule: long non-coding RNA, 428 nt
Organism: Telopea speciosissima
Lineage: Eukaryota; Viridiplantae; Streptophyta; Magnoliopsida; Proteales; Proteaceae
Exons: 4
Source: RefSeq, a predicted model, not a curated record
UGAGGUGUCAAGGAGAUGGGGGUUUGAUGAUUCAAGUCCUAAGUUUUUUCAAAGAGGUUUGUAUGUUACCAAGAAGGUUAUUGAUGUAAUAAUGAUAAGCUGAGGAAGGGGGAAAAAGUACUUCAUCGGUCUGAAGUUAGAGUUGGUUGUCCAAUAUUUCUUUCUAUUAAUUAAACCAAAUUCCAAUGGUUGGGUAGUGCACAAAUUUAAGGCAUAUCACAAUCACCCACUGGUUCUUCAAGACCAAUCAGUUAGGCUCCGAUCACACCAACAAUUGGUAGAUGGUGUAAAAGUUUUAGUUGAUAAUCUCCAUAGUGUUGGUAUAGGUCAAACACAAAUAGUUGAUGUCGUUGUGGAAUUCUAUGGUGGUUAUUGAUAAUAUUGGUGUGAUAGAGGGGACACUUAAAGGUUAUACGAAAACAAAUGAA